CCUACGGGUGGCCGCAGUGAGGAAUAUUGGUCAAUGGCCGGAAGGCUGAACCAGCCAUGCCGCGUGAAGGUCAGUGCCCUAUGGGCGUUAAACUUCUUUUGUGCGGGAGCAAUAAUGGUCACGUGUGGCCAGACGAGAGUACCGUACGAAUAAGCCUCGGCUAACUCCGUUCCCGCAGCCGCGGUAAUACGGGGGAUGCCAGCGUUAUCCGGAUUUCUUGGGUUUAAAGGGUGCGUAGGCUGUGAGGUAAGUCAGCGGUGAAAUGCCCCCGCUCAACGGGGUGAAGUGCCAUUGAUACUGCCUGGCUGGAAUGCGGAUGCCGUGGGAGGAAUGUGUGGUGUAGCGGUGAAAUGCAUAGAUAUCACACAGAACACCGAUUGCGAAGGCAUCUCACGAAUCCGCGAUUGACGCUGAUGCACGAAAGCGUGGGUAUCAAACAGGAUUAGAGACCCGGGUAGUC
This 460-nucleotide ribosomal RNA is filed under the name uncultured bacterium. RNAcentral's name for it is "partial 16S ribosomal RNA". It matches the Rfam family "Bacterial small subunit ribosomal RNA", at positions 338 to 795 of the family's 1533-position model. The record is from RNAcentral.